RNAcentral lists this ribosomal RNA (271 nucleotides) under uncultured bacterium. Its description in RNAcentral is "partial 16S ribosomal RNA". It matches the Rfam family "Bacterial small subunit ribosomal RNA", at positions 524 to 794 of the family's 1533-position model. The record is from RNAcentral.
UACAGAGACUGCAAGCGUUAUUCGGAUUCACUGGGCGUAAAGGGUGCGCAGGCGGCCGAGUGUGUUAGAUGUGAAAUCCCGGGGCUCAACCCCGGAACUGCGUCUAAAACUACUUGGCUAGAGUAUUGGAGAGGGUAGCGGAAUUCACGGUGUAGCAGUGAAAUGCGUAGAUAUCGUGAGGAACACCAGAGGCGAAGGCGGCUACCUGGACAAUUACUGACGCUCAGGCACGAAAGCGUGGGGAGCAAAAGGGAUUAGAAACCCUAGUAGU